GAGUGAGGACUGAAAGCCCUCUGGAGUGGCAGUGAUCUGACCGAAUGGAAACUGUUGAACAUACAGCAUGUUGUCUACAGCAGGACUAAAAUGGUUGGACUAUGUCCUUUAAAGGUCGACGCGGCUAUUUCAGAUGAGUCACUCUGAAGGUUGUUCUGUGUUGCCACAGGCAGGCAAGGGCACCAGAUGACUGGUGUGUACUGGAGUAGGGCUUUGAGCCGCUGCGCUGCAUUGGAGCACAAUUCACAGCCAUGCAGCAGGUGCUGGAUAACCUGAGAGACCUGCCUCCCACCACGGGGGCCAAAGACAUCGACCUCCUCUUCCUCAGGGGAAUCAUAGAGAGCCCCAUAGUCCGCUCCCUCG
Salvelinus sp. IW2-2015 is the source of this 363-nucleotide long non-coding RNA. RefSeq lists it as uncharacterized. Lineage: Eukaryota; Metazoa; Chordata; Actinopteri; Salmoniformes; Salmonidae. The record is from RefSeq and is a predicted model, not a curated record.